This is a long non-coding RNA of Gasterosteus aculeatus aculeatus (three-spined stickleback), 390 nucleotides long. NCBI's taxonomy places the organism in Eukaryota, Metazoa, Chordata, Actinopteri, Perciformes, Gasterosteidae. The record is from Ensembl.
GCAGGCGAGAGAGGAACUUGACAGCAUGGUGGGAGCUGGAUUCACACCCACCACACCGAUAAACACGAGCAUGACGGCAGCGCAGCGUACAGCAGACAACGAUUAAGGAUAAUGUGGUGAAAGUGUGAGCAGAGAGACUGCUGCGAAUGCUCACACGUUAGCUCAUCGUCAUGAAUCGCCACCGUCUCGUCGUCCGCCCACCAGAGAGGGAAACAAAGGAAGCACAGAGAGUUGGAUCGGGACCAGAGUGUCGUGUUUGCCCGAGGAGACAAACCGCACUGGAGGCUUAUUAUGUGAAGUGAUGGUAACGACCUGGACUGAUUGCGGAGCUGAGAAGACUUCUGAUUCAGGGUUGAGGGGAAGGAGGGGGAGAACAGAGGAGGAGAUAAA